This 87-nucleotide non-coding RNA is filed under the name Sporomusa acidovorans. RNAcentral describes it as "GEMM cis-regulatory element". It matches the Rfam family "c-di-GMP-I riboswitch aptamer". From Rfam's summary of the family: GEMM was predicted in a large-scale screen for bacterial structured RNA regulatory elements. Genes associated with GEMM are involved in a diverse array of functions, including chemotaxis regulation, signal transduction, secretion and chitin. Lineage: Bacteria; Bacillati; Bacillota; Negativicutes; Selenomonadales; Sporomusaceae. The record is from RNAcentral. RNAcentral also lists the same sequence under 1 other name.
AAUAAAUUUAAGCAAACCUUCUGAAAGGAAGGGACGCAAAGCCGUGGGUCUAACGAUGAAAAAAUCUAUGAUUGCCAGGUUGCACUA